Molecule: ribosomal RNA, 463 nt
Filed under: uncultured bacterium
Lineage: Bacteria
Description: bacterial SSU rRNA
Rfam family: Bacterial small subunit ribosomal RNA
Source: RNAcentral
AUGGAACGCUGGCGGCAGGCCUAACACAUGCAAGUCGAGCGGUAACACAGGGAGCUUGCUCCUGGGUGACGAGCGGCGGACGGGUGAGUAAUGUCUGGGAAACUGCCUGAUGGAGGGGGAUAACUACUGGAAACGGUAGCUAAUACCGCAUAACGUCGCAAGACCAAAGUGGGGGACCUUCGGGCCUCACACCAUCGGAUGUGCCCAGAUGGGAUUAGCUAGUAGGUGGGGUAAUGGCUCACCUAGGCGACGAUCCCUAGCUGGUCUGAGAGGAUGACCAGCCACACUGAACUGAGACACGGUCCAGACUCCUACGGGAGGCAGCAGUGGGGAAUAUUGCACAAUGGGCGCAAGCCUGAUGCAGCCAUGCCGCGUGUAUGAAGAAGGCCUUCGGGUUGUAAAGUACUUUCAGCGAGGAGGAAGGCAUUGUGGUUAAUAACCGCAGUGAUUGACGUUACUCGCA